This 1690-nucleotide ribosomal RNA is filed under the name Thunnus thynnus thynnus. RNAcentral describes it as "16S rRNA". It matches the Rfam family "Bacterial large subunit ribosomal RNA". The record is from RNAcentral. Lineage: Eukaryota; Metazoa; Chordata; Actinopteri; Scombriformes; Scombridae.
UGCUGACCAGCUAGCCCACCCUAACAAAAACAACAACCCAAUAUAAAUAACCCCAAACACACUACUCCUCCUAUAAACAAACCAUUUUACCCCCCUAGUAUGGGCGACAGAAAAGGAACUAUUGGAGCGAUAGAGAAAGUACCGCAAGGGAACGCUGAAAGAGAAAUGAAAUAACCCAGUAAAGCCUAAAAAAGCAGAGAUUUUACCUCGUACCUUUUGCAUCAUGAUUUAGCUAGUACUACCCAAGCAAAGAGAACUUUAGUUUGGACCCCCGAAACUAGGUGAGCUACUCCAAGACAGCCUAUCAAUAGGGCAAACCCGUCUCUGUGGCAAAAGAGUGGGAAGAGCUUUGAGUAGAGGUGACAGACCUACCGAACCUAGUUAUAGCUGGUUGCCUGAGAAUUGGAUAGGAGUUCAGCCUCCAGGCUUCUCUAUUCACCGCGGUCUUACCCCUACCGAUGCACUAAAGAAGCCUAGAGAGUUAAUCAAAGGGGGUACAGCCCCUUUGAGACAAGAUACAACUUUUCCAGGAGGGUAAAGAUCAUAUUUACCCAAGGUAACAAUGCCCAGGUGGGCCUAAAAGCAGCCAUCCUUACAGAAAGCGUUAAAGCUCAAGCAUUACACCUUCCCACAUAUUCAGAUAACCAUAUCCCAACCCCCUAAUAUUAUCAGGCCAUCUCAUGCAUACAUGAGAGUGCACAUGCUAAUAUGAGUAACAAGAGAGCCUCCGCCUCUCUCCUUGCACACGUGUAAAUCGGAACGAACCCCCACCGAAACUUAACGGCCCCAAACAAAGAGGGCAAUGAACAACAAGUAAGCAACCAGAAAACCAUCCAAAAAACAACCGUUAACCCCACACUGGUGUGCCAUUAAGGAAAGACUAAAAGAAAAAGAAGGAACUCGGCAAACAUACCAAGCCUCGCCUGUUUACCAAAAACAUCGCCUCUUGCAAAACAAAGAAUAAGAGGUCCAGCCUGCCCUGUGACUAUAUGUUUAACGGCCGCGGUAUUUUAACCGUGCGAAGGUAGCGCAAUCACUUGUCUUUUAAAUGGAGACCUGUAUGAAUGGCAUUACGAGGGCUUAACUGUCUCCUUUUUCUAGUCAGUGAAAUUGAUCUCCCCGUGCAGAAGCGGGGAUAUAACCAUAAGACGAGAAGACCCUAUGGAGCUUUAGACACCAAGGCAUAUCAUGUCAAACACCCCUAAACAAAGGACUAAACCAAAUGAAUCAUGCCCCCAUGUCUUUGGUUGGGGCGACCGCGGGGAAAUAAAAAACCCCCACGUGGAAUGGGAGUACUACCUCCUACAACCAAGAGCUGCAGCUCUAAAAAACAGAAUAUCUGACCAAUAAGAUCCGGCAACGCCGAUCAACGGACCGAGUUACCCUAGGGAUAACAGCGCAAUCCCCUUUUAGAGCCCAUAUCGACAAGGGGGUUUACGACCUCGAUGUUGGAUCAGGACAUCCUAAUGGUGCAGCCGCUGUUAAGGGUUCGUUUGUUCAACGAUUAAAGUCCUACGUGAUCUGAGUUCAGACCGGAGUAAUCCAGGUCAGUUUCUAUCUAUGAUAUGUUCUUUUCUAGUACGAAAGGACCGAAAAGAAGAGGCCAAUGCUAAAAGCACGCCUCACCCCUCCUAUUGAAAACAACUAAAAUAGGCAAAAGGGCAUACCCCUCCACGCCCAAGAUAAUGGC